Mugil cephalus (flathead mullet) is the source of this 1053-nucleotide long non-coding RNA. RefSeq lists it as uncharacterized. The record is from RefSeq and is a predicted model, not a curated record. The transcript is spliced from 3 exons. Lineage: Eukaryota; Metazoa; Chordata; Actinopteri; Mugiliformes; Mugilidae.
AUGAUUGUUACCACAUUCACAGCCCUCUUCUUGAGAUAUUGGCUGUCAGCAGAUCUUGCGCCACAUUCGGUUCAUCACCUCUGAUGGAUGCCCUUAUUACACCGUAGCCGCAGAUUCAGGGGUCGGGUUCCAGUUGUGAUUGUACAUCGCGUAAGUUCCCGCGAACGAGAGUCUGCUUCGCCCGGGUUCUCCAUCGUGCUGUCACAUGUCUCCUGAGUGUUGAGAGCUCUAAACUUGCAGCUACAACGCGAACAGCAUCGGCUCAGUAUUCUCCAAAUUCCUUGACCAUACAUGCCAGCUGACUCUUUACAACUGUCUGCAUCUGUUUCUAAUGGUCUGUCUCAUGAGUCAUACUCCACCUCCCUCUGGCUCCCCGUGGCCUCCCUUCCACUCCAUUUACCAUCCAUAUCUACCUAUUCUGUGAUACUCCGCUCUGCUCUCUCUCGAGCAACGUCUUAUUUUGCUUUUUCGUUUUGAUCCGCCUCGGUCAAUGCAGCACUUUUCCGCUACAUUACUGCCAGAUGGGGCAACAGUGCAAGUUAGAAACUUUUCGGCUGUUGUGAUGGGACUAUAUAUAAGGUAAAUCGAUCUGGAAGGAGGUCUACAAAAACUAAGAGGUUGGGUGGAGAAAUAAGUUACGGAUGUAACUCUGGUUCUCUGAAAUGGGUUCCUGUUAGUCAAGAAUGUACAGUUUACACUUCUACGUCAACGUCAGCCCAGAGCCUACCCUAACGCCGUAGCCUGACGUCCACCUCAACAGAAAAGUAACUACCCCAAGAGCUAUGAUUGAUCCACUUCGCGGGAGCAUAUUUACUAUUUCCGCUACUUCUCUAGCGCCGCAAUUUUCAAUUGUUUUGGACCAAUAAAGAUGGAACACAUGGUGGAAAAGUUAAUUGAGGUGGUUUGGAGAUACAAACAUUUGUAUGACUCAUCGUUACAGAAUUACAAAAUUAGGGAAAAUGUUUUAGUUGUCAUUGUCGAAAGUGAAGCAGAAAAUGGAAACAAAAAUUAAUCCGACUGGCAAAAAAGACAAUAACACAUAGAGCGAGCCAG